Molecule: ribosomal RNA, 233 nt
Filed under: uncultured bacterium
Lineage: Bacteria
Description: partial 16S ribosomal RNA
Rfam family: Bacterial small subunit ribosomal RNA
Source: RNAcentral
UCCACGCAGUAAACGAUGAAUGUUAGUCGUUGGGUCUCUAGUAGAUUCAGUGACGCAGUUAACACAUUAAACAUUCCGCCUGGGGAGUACGGUCGCAAGAUUAAAACUCAAAGGAAUAGACGGGGACCCGCACAAGUGGUGGAGCAUGUGGUUUAAUUCGAAGAUACGCGAAGAACCUUACCUAGCCUUGACAUAUAUUAGAACUCCGCAGAGAUGCAGAGGUGCCUUCGGGA